Molecule: ribosomal RNA, 525 nt
Filed under: uncultured bacterium
Lineage: Bacteria
Description: partial 16S ribosomal RNA
Rfam family: Bacterial small subunit ribosomal RNA (bases 20-328)
Source: RNAcentral
AUUGAACGCUGGCGGCAUGCUUUACACAUGCAAGUCGAACGGCAGCGCGGGCUUCGGCCUGGCGGCGAGUGGCGAACGGGUGAGUAAUGCAUCGGAACGUGCCCAGUAGUGGGGGAUAGCCCGGCGAAAGCCGGAUUAAUACCGCAUACGACCUGAGGGUGAAAGCGGGGGACCGAAAGGCCUCGCGCUAUUGGAGCGGCCGAUGUCGGAUUAGCUAGUUGGUGGGGUAAAGGCUUACCAAGGCGACGAUCCGUAGCUGGUCUGAGAGGACGACCAGCCACGCGGGGGCGGAGACCCGGCCGAGACACCGAGGGGAGGCGGCAGUGGGGAAUACUGGAGAAGGGAGGCAACGAGGAGCCAGCCGGGCGGAGGGGGGAAAGGUGGCAUGCGGUUUGUCACCGGCUUUUGGCAGGGAAGAAGUCCUCGGGGCCACGCAGGGGGGGGGACGCGGGUACCGGAAGAAGAAGCACCGGCUAACAAGGGACGAGCCGCGGCGGGAAUAAUCGGAAGAGCACACUACUGACC